This 458-nucleotide ribosomal RNA is filed under the name uncultured bacterium. RNAcentral describes it as "bacterial SSU rRNA". It matches the Rfam family "Bacterial small subunit ribosomal RNA", at positions 60 to 518 of the family's 1533-position model. The record is from RNAcentral.
AGCACGAAGCAAUUAGUAAUAAGUGUUCGUGCUAGAAAAUUGCUUAGUGGACGAACGGGUGAGUAACACAUGAGCAACCUACCUUUUACUGGGGAAUAACAUUUAGAAAUAGAUGCUAAUACCGCAUAUGACCACAAUCUGACAUCAGAUGGGGGUGAAAGAAGUAAUUCGGUAAAAGAUGGGCUUGUGGUUCAUUAGCUAGUUGGUAAGGGUAAUGGCCUACCAAGGCAACGAUGAAUAGCCGAACUGAGAGGUUAAACGGCCACACUGGAACUGAGAUACGGUCCAGACUCCUACGGGAGGCAGCAGUUAGGAAUAUUGGGCAAUGGGCGAAAGCCUGACCCAGCAACGCCGCGUGGAGGAUGAAGGUCUUCGGAUUGUAAACUUCUGUUCUAAGGGAAAAAACAAAUGAUGGUACCUUAGGAGAAAGCCACGGCUAACUACGUGCCAGCAGCAGC